Molecule: ribosomal RNA, 402 nt
Filed under: uncultured Bradyrhizobiaceae bacterium
Lineage: Bacteria; Pseudomonadati; Pseudomonadota; Alphaproteobacteria; Hyphomicrobiales; Nitrobacteraceae
Description: bacterial SSU rRNA
Rfam family: Bacterial small subunit ribosomal RNA
Source: RNAcentral
AGUGGGGAAUAUUGGACAAUGGGCGCAAGCCUGAUCCAGCCAUGCCGCGUGAGUGAUGAAGGCCUUAGGGUUGUAAAGCUCUUUUGUCCGGGAAGAUAAUGACUGUACCGGAAGAAUAAGCCCCGGCUAACUUCGUGCCAGCAGCCGCGGUAAUACGAAGGGGGCUAGCGUUGCUCGGAAUCACUGGGCGUAAAGGGCGCGUAGGCGGACUUUUAAGUCGGAGGUGAAAGCCCAGGGCUCAACCCUGGAAUUGCCUUCGAUACUGGGAGUCUUGAGUUCGGAAGAGGUUGGUGGAACUGCGAGUGUAGAGGUGAAAUUCGUAGAUAUUCGCAAGAACACCAGUGGCGAAGGCGGCCAACUGGUCCGAUACUGACGCUGAGGCGCGAAAGCGUGGGGAGCAAA